This 1344-nucleotide ribosomal RNA is filed under the name uncultured bacterium. Its description in RNAcentral is "16S ribosomal RNA". It matches the Rfam family "Bacterial small subunit ribosomal RNA", at positions 28 to 1378 of the family's 1533-position model. The record is from RNAcentral.
GACGAACGCUGUUCGGCGCGCUUAACACAUGCAAGUCGAACGGAAAGGCCCUGCUUUUGUGGGGUGCUCGAGUGGCGAACGGGUGAGUAACACGUGAGUAACCUGCCCUUGACUUUGGGAUAACUUCAGGAAACUGGGGCUAAUACCGGAUAGGAGCUCCUGCUGCAUGGUGGGGGUUGGAAAGUUUCGGCGGUUGGGGAUGGACUCGCGGCUUAUCAGCUUGUUGGUGGGGUAGUGGCUUACCAAGGCUUUGACGGGUAGCCGGCCUGAGAGGGUGACCGGCCACAUUGGGACUGAGAUACGGCCCAGACUCCUACGGGAGGCAGCAGUGGGGAAUAUUGCACAAUGGGCGGAAGCCUGAUGCAGCAACGCCGCGUGCGGGAUGACGGCCUUCGGGUUGUAAACCGCUUUCGCCUGUGACGAAGCGUGAGUGACGGUAAUGGGUAAAGAAGCACCGGCUAACUACGUGCCAGCAGCCGCGGUGAUACGUAGGGUGCGAGCGUUGUCCGGAUUUAUUGGGCGUAAAGGGCUCGUAGGUGGUUGAUCGCGUCGGAAGUGUAAUCUUGGGGCUUAACCCUGAGCGUGCUUUCGAUACGGGUUGACUUGAGGAAGGUAGGGGAGAAUGGAAUUCCUGGUGGAGCGGUGGAAUGCGCAGAUAUCAGGAGGAACACCAGUGGCGAAGGCGGUUCUCUGGGCCUUUCCUGACGCUGAGGAGCGAAAGCGUGGGGAGCGAACAGGCUUAGAUACCCUGGUAGUCCACGCUGUAAACGGUGGGUACUAGGUGUGGGGUCCAUUCCACGGGUUCCGUGCCGUAGCUAACGCUUUAAGUACCCCGCCUGGGGAGUACGGCCGCAAGGCUAAAACUCAAAGGAAUUGACGGGGCCCCGCACAAGCGGCGGAGCAUGCGGAUUAAUUCGAUGCAACGCGUAGAACCUUACCUGGGUUUGACAUGGAUCGGGAGUGCUCAGAGAUGGGUGUGCCUCUUUUGGGGUCGGUUCACAGGUGGUGCAUGGCUGUCGUCAGCUCGUGUCGUGAGAUGUUGGGUUAAGUCCCGCAACGAGCGCAACCCUUGUUCACUGUUGCCAGCACGUUAUGGUGGGGACUCAGUGGAGACCGCCGGGGUCAACUCGGAGGAAGGUGGGGAUGACGUCAAGUCAUCAUGCCCCUUAUGUCCAGGGCUUCACGCAUGCUACAAUGGCUGGUACAGAGAGUGGCGAGCCUGUGAGGGUGAGCGAAUCUCGGAAAGCCGGUCUCAGUUCGGAUUGGGGUCUGCAACUCGACCUCAUGAAGUCGGAGUCGCUAGUAAUCGCAGAUCAGCAACGCUGCGGUGAAUACGUUCCCGGG